UACGUAGGGUCCGAGCGUUGUCCGGAAUUACUGGGCGUAAAGAGCUCGUGGGUGGUUUGUCGCGUUGUCCGUGAAAUCCCACAACUCAAUUGUGGGUCUGCGGGCGAUACGGGCAGACUGGAGUACUGCAGGGGAGACUGGAAUUCCUGGUGUAGCGGUGGAAUGCGCAGAUAUCAGGAGGAACACCGGUGGCGAAGGCGGGUCUCUGGGCAGUAACUGACGCUGAGGAGCGAAAGCGUGGGGAGCGAACAGG
Molecule: ribosomal RNA, 253 nt
Filed under: uncultured bacterium
Lineage: Bacteria
Description: partial 16S ribosomal RNA
Rfam family: Bacterial small subunit ribosomal RNA
Source: RNAcentral